RNAcentral lists this ribosomal RNA (297 nucleotides) under uncultured bacterium. RNAcentral's name for it is "partial 16S ribosomal RNA". It matches the Rfam family "Bacterial small subunit ribosomal RNA", at positions 775 to 1067 of the family's 1533-position model. The record is from RNAcentral.
GGAUUAGAUACCCUGGUAGUCCACGCCGUAAACGAUGAGCACUAGUUGUUGUGGGUAUUGACCCCUGCAGUGACGACGCUAACGCAUUAAGCACUCCGCCUGGGGAGUACGGCCGCAAGGUUAAAACUCAAAGGAAUUGACGGGGGCCCGCACAAGCGGUGGAGCAUGUGGUUUAAUUCGAAGGUACGCGAAAAACCUUACCAGCUCUUGACAUGUUAGAUCAAAGAUCUAGGAGACUAGAUCCUCAUUUAGUUGGAUCUUUCACAGGUGCUGCAUGGCCGUCGUCAGCUCGUGCUG